Molecule: ribosomal RNA, 253 nt
Filed under: uncultured bacterium
Lineage: Bacteria
Description: partial 16S ribosomal RNA
Rfam family: Bacterial small subunit ribosomal RNA
Source: RNAcentral
UACGUAGGGGUCGAGCGUUGUCCGGAGUUACUGGGCGUAAAGCGCGCGCAGGCGGCGCGAUAAGACCGGCGUGAAAGCCCCCGGCUCAACCGGGGAGGGUCGUUGGUGACUGUCGCGCUUGAAGGCAGCAGGGGUGAGUGGAAUUCAUGGUGUAGCAGUGAAAUGCGUAGAGAUCAUGAGGAAGACCAGUGGCGAAGGCGGGUCUCUGGACAGUUCCUGACACUGAGGCACGAAGGCCAGGGGAGCAAACGGG